CGCGGCACGGCCUGUGCGUUUACACUCCUCGAGGUAAAUUGCCUGCUUGAGCUAGAACCCCAAUUUACCCUCCCAGACCCUGCACACAUUAGCGGUUUAUUGGAUUUUAUUCUGUUGUAAAUACAACACAGCGAUAUGAUCAUGAGCAGUUCGAAUUGGAGAGAAAGUGAAAUCCGCAAGUUGCUGAUCAUGUGAGAGAAGGUGAUGCCGUCGUAUUAAACAAAGACAUUUGGUUGGUGUGAUCUACGAGAGAGACGCGGAGGAACUGUCCUUGCAAGGCUUUUGCCGGGAUAAAAAACAAGUGGUCAGCAAAAUAAAUAAUCUGUUUUUGCUCUUGUAAAUAGUUAAUCGCGUUUGUAGCCUACACUCAGACAUGAACUUAUUCUUGCAUGCGGGGGUAUUCCUUCAUAAAAACAUAAAAACAUUCGGGAGUAUGCAAAUUAUUCUAAAGAGGUCUAGACUCUGUGCGCAGCCCCGCUUUCUCCAGUGAACCAAGAAAGCCUGCACCGUGACGAAUGGGGGAUUU
Molecule: long non-coding RNA, 526 nt
Organism: Gadus macrocephalus (Pacific cod)
Lineage: Eukaryota; Metazoa; Chordata; Actinopteri; Gadiformes; Gadidae
Exons: 2
Source: RefSeq, a predicted model, not a curated record